UAACGUUACCAAACUGUUGCCUCGGCGGGAUCUCUGCCCCGGGUGCGUCGCAGCCCCGGACCAAGGCGCCCGCCGGAGGACCAACCAAAACUCUUAUUGUAUACCCCCUCGCGGGUUUUUUACUAUCUGAGCCAUCUCGGCGCCCCUCGUGGGCGUUUCGAAAAUGAAUCAAAACUUUCAACAACGGAUCUCUUGGUUCUGGCAUCGAUGAAGAACGCAGCGAAAUGCGAUAAGUAAUGUGAAUUGCAGAAUUCAGUGAAUCAUCGAAUCUUUGAACGCACAUUGCGCCCGCCAGUAUUCUGGCGGGCAUGCCUGUCCGAGCGUCAUUUCAACCCUCGAACCCCUCCGGGGGGUCGGCGUUGGGGAUCGGCCCUUUACGGGGCCGGCCCCGAAAUACAGUGGCGGUCUCGCCGCAGCCUCUCCUGCGCAGUAGUUUGCACACUCGCAUCGGGAGCGCGGCGCGUCCACAGCCGUUAAACACCCCAAACUUCUGAAAUGUUGACCUCGGAUCAGGUAGGAAUACCCGCUGAACUA
This 534-nucleotide ribosomal RNA is filed under the name Trichoderma virens. Its description in RNAcentral is "eukaryotic LSU rRNA". The stretch from base 173 to 326 matches the Rfam family "5.8S ribosomal RNA". Lineage: Eukaryota; Fungi; Ascomycota; Sordariomycetes; Hypocreales; Hypocreaceae. The record is from RNAcentral.